CCUACGGGGGGCAGCAGUGGGGAAUCUUGCACAAUGGGCGAAAGCCUGAUGGAGCAACGCCGCGUGGGUGAAGAAGGUCUUCGGAUCGUAAAACCCUGUUGGUAGAGAAGAAAGUGCGUGAGAGUAACUGUUCACGUUUCGACGGUAUCUAACCAGAAAGCCACGGCUAACUACGUGCCAGCAGCCGCGGUAAUACGUAGGUGGCAAGCGUUAUCCGGAUUUGUUGGGGGUAAAGGGAACGCAGGCGGUCUUUUAAGUCUGAUGUGAAAGCCUUCGGCUUAAACGGAGUAGUGCAUUGGAAAAUGGUAGACCUGAGUGCAGAAGAGGAGAGGGGAACUCCAUGUGU
Molecule: ribosomal RNA, 346 nt
Filed under: uncultured bacterium
Lineage: Bacteria
Description: partial 16S ribosomal RNA
Rfam family: Bacterial small subunit ribosomal RNA
Source: RNAcentral